UACGGGGGGGGUAAGCGUUGUUCGGAAUUACUGGGCGUAAAGGGCUCGUAGGCGGCCAACUAAGUCAUACGUGAAAUCCCUCAGCUUAACUGGGGAACUGCGUGUGAUACUGGAUGGCUUGGAUUUGGGAGAGGGAUGCGGAAUUCCAGGUGUAGCGGUGAAAUGCGUAGAUAUCUGGAGGAACACCGGUGGCGAAGGCGGCUUUCUGGACAAAUACCGACGCUGAGGCACGAAAGCUAGGGGAGCAAACAGG
Molecule: ribosomal RNA, 253 nt
Filed under: uncultured bacterium
Lineage: Bacteria
Description: partial 16S ribosomal RNA
Rfam family: Bacterial small subunit ribosomal RNA
Source: RNAcentral